Molecule: non-coding RNA, 217 nt
Filed under: Streptomyces albireticuli
Lineage: Bacteria; Bacillati; Actinomycetota; Actinomycetes; Kitasatosporales; Streptomycetaceae
Source: RNAcentral
CUAUGGUGGCCCGGCCGUGGUGUUCGGGAAGACCGGUGACAGGCCCUCGUGGCCCGAGUCCGGAGCGGCCCUCGCCACUGUGAUCGGGGAGUUCCCGUUCCGUUCCGCGCGCCGCCACGGCGCGCGGAGCCACUGGCCGCAGCCCGCGGCCGGGAAGGCAGGGGCGGGCGCGCGCGAACCCGUAAGCCAGGAGACCGGCCACGGCAUCACGCGAUGA